This 468-nucleotide ribosomal RNA is filed under the name uncultured bacterium. Its description in RNAcentral is "partial 16S ribosomal RNA". It matches the Rfam family "Bacterial small subunit ribosomal RNA", at positions 28 to 507 of the family's 1533-position model. The record is from RNAcentral.
GACGAACGCUGGCGGCGUGCUUAACACAUGCAAGUCGAACGGAAAGGCCCUGCUUUUGUGGGGUGCUCGAGUGGCGAACGGGUGAGUAACACGUGAGUAACCUGCCCUUGACUUUGGGAUAACUUCAGGAAACUGGGGCUAAUACCGGAUAGGAGCUCCUGCUGCAUGGUGGGGGUUGGAAAGUUUCGGCGGUUGGGGAUGGACUCGCGGCUUAUCAGCUUGUUGGUGGGGUAGUGGCUUACCAAGGCUUUGACGGGUAGCCGGCCUGAGAGGGUGACCGGCCAAAAUGGGAAUGGGGAAAGGGCCAGAAUCCGUAGGGAGGGAGGAGGUGGGAAAAAUGGAAAAAGGGGGGAAGGCGGAAGCAGGCACGCCGGGGGCGGGAAGAAGGCCUUUGGGGUGGAAAACGGUUUCGGCUGGGAAGAAGGGGGAGGGAAGGUAAUGGGUAAAGAAGCACCGGCUAACUACGUG